CGAAAAGCGACGGCGAGGUGAUAUGAACCCUUGACCCGUCGAUGUCCGAAUGGGGAAACCCAGUGCAAUCCGUUGCACUAUCGUUAACUGAAUACAUAGGUUAACGAGGCGAACCGGGGGAACUGAAACAUCUAAGUACCCCGAGGAAAAGAAAUCAACCGAGAUUCCCCCAGUAGCGGCGAGCGAACGGGGAGCAGCCCGGAGUCUGAAUCAGCUUGUGUGUUAGUGGAACGGUCUGGAAAGUCCGACGGUACAGGGUGAUAGUCCCGUACACGAAAGCACACUUGCUGUGAACUCGAAGAGUAGGGCGGGACACGUGGUAUCCUGUCUGAAUAUGGGGGGACCAUCCUCCAAGGCUAAAUACUCCUGACUGACCGAUAGUGAACCAGUACCGUGAGGGAAAGGCGAAAAGAACCCCGGCGAGGGGAGUGAAAAAGAACCUGAAACCGUGUAC
Molecule: ribosomal RNA, 454 nt
Filed under: Enterobacter cancerogenus
Lineage: Bacteria; Pseudomonadati; Pseudomonadota; Gammaproteobacteria; Enterobacterales; Enterobacteriaceae
Description: partial 23S ribosomal RNA
Rfam family: Bacterial large subunit ribosomal RNA
Source: RNAcentral